This 1921-nucleotide long non-coding RNA is filed under the name Nicotiana benthamiana. RNAcentral's name for it is "long non-coding RNA (NBEN_LNC031270)". The record is from RNAcentral. Lineage: Eukaryota; Viridiplantae; Streptophyta; Magnoliopsida; Solanales; Solanaceae.
AAAAAUUGUGCUUUUUCAUAUAAGGUAAUAUAAGAAAUUUAUACAGUACUCCCAUCGCCCCCAAAAAUACAUUUUUAUAUUUAGUAAUAAUUUAACUUUAAACUUGUUAUUUUACUUAAAUUUUUUAUUUUAUUUUAAUGAAAUAAUUUAUAAUUAUACAAGUAUUAUAGCUUGUUUUGGAUCAUAAAUUAUUGAGAUGAAAGAGCUUACAUGAUUGUACACUAUGUAUAUACACUGUAUAUUUAUUGUAUUCUCUGGUAUACACUGUAUGGGCUGUGAUGAUAUGUUUGUUAUUUGGGCCAAAUGUGUUACACAAGUCCAAUCUGUUUCAACCCCAUUAUUUUCAGUAUUGGGUCGUCCAUUGGGUUGUCUGACCCGACCCAAUGAUACAUGUAUAUAUAGCUGUUCCUCAGAUAUUUUACACUACGGAUUUCAUUUCAUUUUGUUUUCUGUUUAAUAAAAUUCUCUGGCUUUCAGAGUCUUCUCUCAGACGCUCCUCCUUCUCGUUAGAUUCUCUCUCUACAUUCUUCAUAAUUUUUCGAUUUAAUCUCAUUGUUUACAUACAUUUUAAUUUUUUAAGAACUCUAUGCUCAGCAAAACAUAAUUGAAACGAAGAGCGCACCUUUCAGCUCAAUUAUUUAAUAGUGGCAGCAAAUUGUGGACAAAAACUAUGUACUCAAGGAAACAUAAUACAUUAUGGCUAUUUCUAGAAUAAUUAGGAACAAGGAUUGUCCUCUAUUUAUAGAAAAUAUAUAAGCAUAACAUGUCACUGCUACAGUCAAAUCUCUCUUUAACAAAUUCGUUUGUUUAAAAUAUUUUUUGAAUAUUAUAGUAAAUUCUUGUCAUAGAAAAAAUAUAUUAUAUCAGAACAUAAAAUUUAGUUUUUAUAGUGAGGUACUAUUAUAUAAGAAUGUAAUUAUAGAUAGGUUUGAUUGUAGUUAAAGAAGGAAAGAACCAAGCAUAUACUCAAUAAACAGAUUAUGUAAGUGUUAUUCUUAUACUAGAAUCACAUAUAUAUAUAUAUAUAUAUAUAUAUAACUUGUAAUUUUUGAUAUUUCCUUAGUUAAAAUUUUGGCUCCGGCAUUUUAAGAAAAAAAAUUUUGAAAUUUACGGUCUAAAUAUGUUAUAAAUAUGUAUGUAACUACAAAUCAUUUCGUUAAGUCUAUCUAGUUAUAGAAACAUAUCUUUUUAAAAAUAAAUUAAAAGAAAAGUAUUUCACAUAAAGGAGUACUAACUAAGGAAGGAGGAGUUGUCUCUUUUUAUAGAGAACGCCACGGGUAAAAACUUAUUCAUACUGUAUUGGGUGUCUAUACCAAACUAAUAUUUUUAAAUUAAGUCGGUACUCUUAUUAAGUUAUAAUCAAUUAACGUAAAUUCAAAUUUCAACAGGUAAUUUUAACAGCAAGUUUGCCUGAAGCAAUUGAAGCUUUAACAAAAGGGGAUCCAAAAUUUGCUGAAGAUGGAAUGGUAGGUUCAUCUGGAGAUGCACAAGAAUGUGAAGAGAAUUUUAAGGGUAGUAAAUCACCAUUUUCUGCAUUAAACGUCGCCGUUCAUCAACUUUCUGAUGUUGGUAGAGCUAUUGUCAGAAAUUUAUUGUGAUAUAUAUAUAUAUAUAUAUAUAUAUAUAUAUAUAAUGUUGGUAGAGCUAUUGUCAGAAAUUUAUUGUGAUAUGUAUGUAUUGCUCUUGUACAAGUGUAACAAUAUUAUCGAUCAGAAAUUUAUUAUGAGGUACCUCUGUAUUCAAACGUGUAACACUCUUAUUCAAGUAGUAGUUCACGUUAGGGAUGUACAUAGGACGGGCCAGUUCGAAUUUCAUAAUUACCAAACCAAAUUAAUUGUGUCGAGUUAUUAAAUCUAAAUACUAAAUUAAACCAAUAAAAUUCGGAUUUUCCGCUCUCGGAUUGUUUCGGGUUUUUGGGUUA